This is a non-coding RNA of Xylaria cubensis, 85 nucleotides long. The record is from the annotation of a GenBank genome assembly. NCBI's taxonomy places the organism in Eukaryota, Fungi, Ascomycota, Sordariomycetes, Xylariales, Xylariaceae.
UCCGAAUUGGUGUAGUGGCCAACAUUUGACGCUCUCAUAACACACGGGUGCCGUCAAGCCCGGGGUUCGAUUCCCCGAUUCGGAG